RNAcentral lists this ribosomal RNA (450 nucleotides) under uncultured Glomeromycotina. RNAcentral describes it as "SSU rRNA". It matches the Rfam family "Eukaryotic small subunit ribosomal RNA", at positions 569 to 1023 of the family's 1831-position model. Lineage: Eukaryota; Fungi; Glomeromycota. The record is from RNAcentral.
AGCAGCCGCGGUAAUUCCAGCUCCAAUAGCGUAUAUUAAAGUUGCUGCAGUUAAAAAGCUCGUAGUUGAAUUUCGGGAUCGAUAUAUCGGUCGUGCCUCGGUACGUACUGGUAUUUUCGGUUUCUCCCUUCUGACGAACCUUGAUGUCAUUAAUUUGGUGUCUUGGGGAAUCAGGACUGUUACUUUGAAAAAUUAGAGUGUUUAAAGCAGGCUCACGCUUGAAUACAUUAGCAUGGAAUAAUGAAAUAGGACGUUUGAUUCUAUUUUGUUGGUUUCUAGGAUCGACGUAAUGAUUAAUAGGGAUAGUUGGGGGCAUUAGUAUUCAAUUGUCAGAGGUGAAAUUCUUGGAUUUAUUGAAGACUAACUACUGCGAAAAGCAUUUGCCAAGGAUGUUUUCAUUAAUACAAGAACGAAAGUUAGGGGAUCGAAGACGAUCAGAUACCGUCGUAG